CUGCAAUUUGGAAUUCUAUUUUUUUUUUUUUACAAAAAGUGUUUUUUGUUUUUGUUUUUUGAAAUUUUAGCAAGCACUUAAGCUGGUUGGACAUAAACUGCUGUUUUUCAGGUGAUAUUUUCUUUUUCUUUUUUCUUUUUAUUUGAGACAGAGUUUCACUCUGUCACCCAGGCUGGAGUGCAGUGAUGCAAUCUUGGCUAACUGCAACAUCCACCUCCUGGGUUCAGAUGAUUCUCGUGCCUCACCCUCACAAGUAGCUGGGAUUACAGACAUGCUAAUUUUUGUAUUUUUAGAAGAAACGAGGUUUCGCCUUAUAGGCCAGACUAGUCUUGAACUCCUGACCUCCAGUGAUCUGCACUCCUCGGCCUCCCAAAGUGCUGGGAUUACAGGCAAGGGCCACUGCGCCUGGCCCAGAUAUUUUCCAUUUUAAUUCAAAUAUUCUGUCUUUAUCUGGGCUUCUUUUUAUUUACUUAUAUUUAUUUAUUUAUUUUGUAGAGAUGGAGUUUCAUCAUGUAGCCCGGGCUGGUCUUGAACUCCUUGGAUCACACAAUUCACCUGCCUCAGCCUUCCAAAGUGCUGGGACUAUAGGCAAGAGGCACCACAACUGGCCUUAUCUGAGCUUCUUAGUAUGUGCUCCAUCCAUGCAUCAUUCAGAGGUUGAGCAUCCCAAAUCUCAAAAGCUCCAAAACCCAAAAUUUUUGGACACUGACUGGACCCUCAAAGGAAAUGGUCAUUGAAGCACUUCAGAUUUCAGAUUCAUCGACUUGGAAUGCUCAACUAGAGCAGUUUGCUCUCUCCCAUCAAGACCACUUCCUGCAAAAAGCUGGGACCAAGAGGCUGCAGGAGGGCCAGCAGCUCCUAACAGGCUGGGUGAGGGGCUGCCAGGUGAUGAAUGGAUGCAUGUGGAGCAAGGUAAUAAACCAGCACCCCAGUCAUGUAAUCUUCCAUUAAAAUGAAAUGCAUACCAGGCAUGCGGUGCUUCUGCAG
RNAcentral lists this long non-coding RNA (987 nucleotides) under Papio anubis (olive baboon). RNAcentral describes it as "lncRNA (ENSPANG00000045286.1)". Lineage: Eukaryota; Metazoa; Chordata; Mammalia; Primates; Cercopithecidae. The record is from RNAcentral.